CGGUUAAGUUAGAAAGGGCGCACGGUGGAUGCCUUGGCACUAGGAGCCGAUGAAGGACGGGACGAACACCGAUAUGCUUCGGGGAGCUGUAAGCAAGCUUUGAUCCGGAGAUUUCCGAAUGGGGAAACCCACCACUCGUAAUGGAGUGGUAUCCAUAUCUGAAUUCAUAGGAUAUGAGAAGGCAGACCCGGGGAACUGAAACAUCUAAGUACCCGGAGGAAGAGAAAGCAAAUGCGAUUCCCUGAGUAGCGGCGAGCGAAACGGGAUUAGCCCAAACCAAGAGGCUUGCCUCUUGGGGUUGUAGGACACUCUGUACGGAGUUACAAAGGAACGAGGUAGAUGAAGAGGUCUGGAAAGGCCCGCCAUAGGAGGUAACAGCCCUGUAGUCAAAACUUCGUUCUCUCCUGAGUGGAUCCUGAGUACGGCGGAACACGUGAAAUUCCGUCGGAAUCCGGGAGGACCAUCUCCCAAGGCUAAAUACUCCCUAGUGACCGAUAGUGAACCAGUACCGUGAGGGAAAGGUGAAAAGCACCCCGGAAGGGGAGUGAAAGAGAUCCUGAAACCGUGUGCCUACAAGUAGUCAGAGCCCGUUAACGGGUGAUGGCGUGCCUUUUGUAGAAUGAACCGGCGAGUUACGAUCUCGUGCAAGGUUAAGCAGAAGAUGCGGAGCCGCAGCGAAAGCGAGUCUGAAUAGGGCGCAUGAGUACGUGGUCGUAGACCCGAAACCAGGUGAUCUACCCAUGUCCAGGGUGAAGUUCAGGUAA
Molecule: ribosomal RNA, 764 nt
Filed under: Bacillus subtilis subsp. subtilis
Lineage: Bacteria; Bacillati; Bacillota; Bacilli; Caryophanales; Bacillaceae
Description: partial 23S ribosomal RNA
Rfam family: Bacterial large subunit ribosomal RNA
Source: RNAcentral